UCAUUUGACCACGCUAUUUCGUCUGAAGUGACAGCUUUAUUCCGUCACACUAGUCCAACUGGCAUGUUAGAUCCCUUGCCACACCAUAGUUUUAUUCAGCUACACAAGGUGGAGCAGCGUGAUCAAAAGAUUCAUUUAUGAAAAUAAAAUUUAGUGAAGUUUAGUUUUGAAAUUUAUAGAUGAAAACGUUUAGAAGAUAAAAAAAAUCACUCUUCACCUGCACGGUCUAGCUGGGAUUGUAAGAAAUAUUAAAUUGAAAAUAUUUCUGACGAUCCAGAAUUUUCUCUUUUACCUUUACACCCUA
This 304-nucleotide long non-coding RNA is filed under the name Oryza brachyantha (malo sina). Its description in RNAcentral is "long non-coding RNA (OBRA_LNC000959)". Lineage: Eukaryota; Viridiplantae; Streptophyta; Magnoliopsida; Poales; Poaceae. The record is from RNAcentral.